UCUCAAUACUAUUAAGUACUGCAGUACUUAAUGAUUUAAAUUAUAAAGAAAUCCAUUAAUUUACAAGGCAUAUUUCAACAUGUAGAUAAACUAUGGCCCUCUGGUGGGCCUUCCAGAAGAUUUGUUAUUGAAGACGCUGGGUUUAUUAAUGUUCUUCAGUCAACAGAAGACAGUAAAAUCAAGAUACAAUCUAAAAUGGACACUUUGUUUACAGACUAGAUUUCUUCCAAAUUAUUUUCUUGUGAUGUGUAUGUAUUUCUUAUUUGUAACUGUGUUUUCAUAACUGGCGGUAAUAAAACUGUGUAAAACAUG
Molecule: long non-coding RNA, 312 nt
Organism: Limulus polyphemus (Atlantic horseshoe crab)
Lineage: Eukaryota; Metazoa; Arthropoda; Merostomata; Xiphosura; Limulidae
Exons: 2
Source: RefSeq, a predicted model, not a curated record